UUAUCUUUUUGUGAACCAGUGUAUGCUUGGUCCUUUGUCAUGUGGAAGCUUUAGAGCGAGUCACACGCCGUUCAGUACGACUGGGUCUAUGANUUAUAUAAACCUUUGUAUGUUUUUGAAUGUCUUUUUAUUGGCCGUAAGGACUCAUGCUAAGAUCUAUACNACUUUCAACAACGGAUCUCUUGGCUCUCCCAUCNAUGAAUAACGCNNCGAANUGCGAUAACUAAUGUGAAUUGCACGAAUUCACGUGCAAUCAUCAAAUCUUUGAACGCAGCCUUGCGCCACUCUUGGUAUUCCGCAACGGUGCAUGCUUGUUUGAGUGUCAUUAAAUUCUCAAAAACCUUUGGUUUGUUCUGAACGCUUUUGGAUGUGAGGGCUUGCUGGCUUUCGGGUCUGCUCCCGUUUAAAUGCAUUAGCUGGACUUCCUUUGAUGAACGGUCACUUGGUGUGAUACACUCUCAUCUACGCCGCUUGACUUGAAGCAAGCCUUAUGGGAGUUCGCUCAUAACCGUCUUUCGAGACAACUCUAUUGACCAUUUGACCUCAAAUCAAGUANGACUACCCGCUGA
Molecule: ribosomal RNA, 569 nt
Filed under: uncultured Mycenaceae
Lineage: Eukaryota; Fungi; Basidiomycota; Agaricomycetes; Agaricales; Mycenaceae
Description: eukaryotic LSU rRNA
Rfam family: 5.8S ribosomal RNA (bases 163-325)
Source: RNAcentral